GAUGAACGCUAGCUACAGGCUUAACACAUGCAAGUCGAGGGGCAGCAUGAUUGAAGCUUGCUUCAAUCGAUGGCGACCGGCGCACGGGUGAGUAACACGUAUCCAACCUGCCGAUAACUCGGGGAUAGCCUUUCGAAAGAAAGAUUAAUACCCGAUAGUAUAGUAUUUCCGCAUGGUUUCACUAUUAAAGAACUUCGGUUAUCGAUGGGGAUGCGUUCCAUUAGAUAGUUGGCGGGGUAACGGCCCACCAAGUCAACGAUGGAUAGGGGUUCUGAGAGGAAGGUCCCCCACAUUGGAACUGAGACACGGUCCAAACUCCUACGGGAGGCAGCAGUGAGGAAUAUUGGUCAAUGGACGAGAGUCUGAACCAGCCAAGUAGCGUGAAGGAUGACUGCCCUAUGGGUUGUAAACUUCCUUUAUACGGGAAUAAAGUGGAGUAUGCAUACUCCUUUGUAUGUACCGUAUGAAUAAGGAUCGGCUAACUCCGUG
RNAcentral lists this ribosomal RNA (489 nucleotides) under uncultured bacterium. RNAcentral's name for it is "partial 16S ribosomal RNA". It matches the Rfam family "Bacterial small subunit ribosomal RNA", at positions 28 to 507 of the family's 1533-position model. The record is from RNAcentral.